Molecule: small nucleolar RNA, 149 nt
Filed under: Moschus moschiferus (Siberian musk deer)
Lineage: Eukaryota; Metazoa; Chordata; Mammalia; Artiodactyla; Moschidae
Source: RNAcentral
GAUGCAGAUUGUUAGAGCUUGGAGCUGAGGCCGCCGGCCAAUGAACUUACAAGUGUAGGUGGUGUGCUGAUGAGGGGCAAGUUUUUCUCUAACCCCACAAGGGUUGCUGGCCCAAUGAGUGGAGUUUGAUAAUAAUACUUGCUACAAAA